Long non-coding RNA from Trifolium pratense (red clover), 5370 nucleotides. RefSeq lists it as uncharacterized. The record is from RefSeq and is a predicted model, not a curated record. The transcript has 24 exons. NCBI's taxonomy places the organism in Eukaryota, Viridiplantae, Streptophyta, Magnoliopsida, Fabales, Fabaceae.
GUUGGCCCAAAUUAUACGGACCCUGCCUUAUAUUACUCUUAUACAAUACAAUCUCACAAACAAACGAAUUUAACGUUCUUCAACCCACUCUUAGAUUCUUCUUCUUCCUCCCUUCCCCUCUUGCUCUCAAAUUUUCAAAUUUUUGCUCUCAAAUUUUCAAUCAUUCCUAUCGCUCUCGAAAUGAUAUCAUCAAGAAUAACAAAAAAUCUGGAUACAGAAACCUUUUAUUUCCUCUCCCACAAAGUACGCGAGUUCUGAAAACCCUAACUACCCAAAUCGAUUUCUGUUCCGAUCCACUCUCAUGAAGCCUUCUCGCGAUGUCUGUUCUGGAAACUUGAUCCACUCUCAUGAAACCUUCUCGCGAUGUCUGUUCUGAAACCUUUUACUACCCAAAUCGAUUUCUGUUCCAAUCAAUCGCGAUGACAGCGUUGUUGUUUUCCCUAAUUUUUAGAUUUCGAAACCCUAAUUUAAAAUUUCAAUUCUUGAAAAUUUCUCCUAACUUUCUUUCAUCCAUUUCUUCAAAAUUUUAAUUUUUAGAUUUUGAAACCCUAAUUUUUACUUUGGGUUUGAUUUGUUUUUGUUUUAGGCGCCGGAGACGACGUGGCAGCAUCAUUUGUAUGGAGAGAUCAACAUGUGGCUGCGGCGGCGGCGUUUCCUGCCCAAGGUGGUCGUGCUUCCUGCCCAAGGUGGUCGUGCGGCUUCCAUAGAAACUGGAACCAAGCUCUAUAUAUCUAAUUUGGAUCAUGGUGUUUCCAAUGAUGAUAUAAAGAUAUAUCUAUAAAUGCUGAAAAUCUUUGCAUGAUAAGUUUUGAGAUGGUCAGGAUAAACUAGAGGUUCAACGAGAACAUAAAUAUGAGGUGUUGAUAUUAUUGGGUGAUGCAAGCAGUGCACUUGGACAUAUGAACAAAGGUGUAGCUGCAUUGUCUAUGGAUAAGUUCAUUCAAAGUCGACAGAGACAGGAAAACAAAUGUGUGGAGGAUUUUGGUGACGUUGUUAGAGAGUGAGGUGGAGCAUUAAUUAUGUUAGGCACCUUUCUUAAUCCCAGAUCAAAGAAAAUGUUAUCUGGCAUAAGUCAACGUCAUGAUGUUCCAGAUGAGAAUAAUGUGCUGCUUGCCGUCACCGACGAAGGGUAAAAGGAAACGGGAAGAUAGAGCAUGGUCGAGAUUUCCCAAAAAUUAUAAUAGAUAGAAUUUGUUAUCGAAUAAUCAGUGACUAAACCCGUUCCUGGGAGUCAAGGAGAGCAUGGUGUUAUUGGAACGGCGAGAAGAAUUCCUUUAAAAGAUAUUGCUAACGUUGGUUCUUCAUCUUUAAAAAAAACAGCAAAAUCAUCAGCAACAACAAGUUCGUUGAAGGCAGGGAAAUAUACAGUACGUAAUGGUACAUUUAUUAAUCGCGCAAGAUGUUCACUAAGAGCUUCGUUUAGGCGGAAUGUGGAAUCUAUCAAACCACGUCAUAUUGCAUUCCAAGUGCUGCUGCAAACAUGGCCAACCAACCUAACUUUGCCCGGGAUACUUGGAAAGAUACAGAUGACUGGAAACGAUAAAGACCAGAGAUAAAUGGCCACUUCUGAUUACUUUUAGGGCCGAUCCUGAUCUCGAACUUAAAUUGAAAAAUAUCAUCAUACAACAACUAGACAUGCUGCUAGUGAUGUUUCUGGACUUGCUGUCAAAUGCCUUGCUCCGUUAGUCAGGAAGAUGAAUGAGCCUUGCACCGUUAGUCAUCAUGCCUAUUGAAAUGUUUCAGAUGACAAUGGAAGUUACACAGAUCCAAUUAAAUGCCCAAGUAGUGGAUGGUGCUGUGAGGAAACAAGCUGAAGAUAACUUGAAACAAUUCCAGAUACCAGCAGCAGCGAAGACACAAUGAUGGUACUGAAGAUGCUGGCCUUGUUGGUCAUAUAUUCAUCUACAUGAGUUCAAAUUUUGGCGUUCCUCUGGUGGUCUAUUCCAAAGGAAAAACUAUCAAUGUGAAGGAGGUGCUAGCUGCUGGUCCUCGGCCUCAACCUAUAAUGGAAACAGUUUUAAUUACUCUGAUGCAUGUUGGAUUACAUAGUGAGAAGGUGGAGUUAGAGGCUGUUUUUAUGAUAUGCGUGGUUUCUGCUGUUGAUUCUUGUCAAUGAGAAUUGGUCUGCACUGUACUUGACGAUCUUUCUAAGGAGCUUCAGUAUAUGACUAGAACGAAGAGUGGCAAUUGGUGGAGAUGGUAGCUGCGUGUGAUGGUGUGUUCAGAUCUUAUUCUCGACGAAGGAGAUGGAAGAUAGAUGUGUUGCAGAUCUUGUGAUGGAGGGCUGCUGAUCUGGUUGUAGAUCUUGUGGAUGGCUGCCGAUCUGGUUGGAGAUCUUGUGAAAGAAGGAUGCGGUUAGAGAAGAGAAGAAGAGAUUGCGUGUUAUGAUGCAAUAAUUUUAGUUUCGUACUCUAUUUUGUUCGUUGAAUGUCUUCCAAGAAUGCAAUAAUUUUUGCUUUUGCUAGUGUUAUAUUUCUUGUCCUCGUCUAUAAGUUUUCACUUUUCACCUUUUUGUUCCUUUUUCCAGGUGUCCUGGACAUUUUUAUCAUGUACGGUGCAUAUACAACUACCAGCUCUAUCACGGAUUUUUCUAAGAUUUCUUUGGUUUAGCCUUGCUUUAGUUUUGUAACUUUCCUUUAUGUGUAUAUUUGCCCAAAAUAAUGAUUUUUAUCUUAUAUCUUCAGGUUUUUGUUGUUUUUUAUUGAUGUGUUGAUGAUGUUUACAUUUACAACUCUUUGUUAUGAUGGCAGAAAAGCACUCCAGGAAGAGAGUAAAAGCGAUUCAAAUUCGGUUAUUUUCAGAUUUUAUGUUAUUGUUGUCGGGAUUUAUGCCGAUGUCCAGUUUUUCAUUAGUUUCCUCAUGCAGAUUCCUGCAUUGUCAUCUUCUGACAAACCAAUGUGAUCGUUGGCCUCUCAUUCGCUUUUUGAAGUGGCCGCGCCAGGAACGACAUUAUGUUGGACGGGGAAUGUAUGAAAGGAGUUUCGAUUUCAUAAAGUAUAUGCUGUUUUGGCUUGUCAUUUUGAGUGCAAAAUUUUUAUUUGCUUACUUUCUUCAGGUACGUGACAUACUCAUAGUUGCCUCCAAAUUGGAAUUAUACUGGUAGAACUGGUAUCUAAAUUAAUUAAAUAUACUGAAUUUACUAGAAUAUUUUAGAUAAUAAAUCUUGAAGCACUGUUCCGAAGAGCAGUGAUUACAUAUAAUGCAGUAGCAGUUCUUCCUCUGGCCAAAACUGACAGAUUCAUUUUCUGACGUAACAAUUACAGAAGUUACACACAAAUGACAGGAAUUUGAGAGCCCGUCCUCUCCCUAACCAACCGGUUUAUACCAAAUAAUGCCUCAAUUAAAACAACAAACUACUAUUUAUAGAGUUACACACACACUAACAAAAACAUAACUGACAUAAUUAAAAUAACUUCUCCUAAUAAUAUAAUAACUGCCAUUAAUUACAUAAUAAAUACGUAAUAAUAUUUACUAAUAAGUGGUCUAACGUAUGCAUCUGUUUGUUCUUGUGUGCCUAUGUGUGGGUGAGUGGAUAAUAUUGCUUGUACCUACUGUGCGUAUGCUUAUAUGCUUGUACACUUGAAUGUUUUAUUUUUGAGGUUUUCAGAUCAAGCCACUUGUGAAACCAACAAGGGACAUAAUAAAAGAGAAAAACUUAGUUUACUCUUGUCAUGAUUUUGUAUCUAAAAGUAAGCGGUGGUCUGUUUAAGUUUGUGGUUAUGUCUUUUUGUUUCCUGUUGAUGCUAUUGGCUACUAAAGUGCCUUUAUUUUUGCUGAUAAUCUCAAUGCUUUGACAAUUGUUAGCAUAUGGUCUCAAGUGGUUUUCGUAAGUGCAUCACUGUUUUGCCUUUUUACCCCCUUGUAUGCUUUAGUUCUACUUUUUUCGUUAAUGAUAGCUUUCUUCUCUCGUGGGGAUGAAAUUGUCAUUCAAGAGGUUGUUGAAGUUUGGUAUGAACUAUGAAGUAGCACAGAUAUUAAUGUGAUAUUUAUGUACGGUAUCAUUUAUGAAGCCUUCUAGCAUUUUAUGUUUAUGUUCAUUUGCACUCAAAACAAGCUUUUCUGCUGAAAGCUAUAUCUUGAAAAACAUGUUUAGCUCUUGUAAGUUGUAACUCAAAUACUCAAAUAAAUAUAUUAUUUUAGGAGGUAUUGAACUAAUAUUGAGUUGGAACAUUUUCAGUACUGAUGGUUGUUUUUGUUAUUGAUUUAUCUCAUCCUUUUCACCUUGACUGUUUCUAUUGUGCAGGAGAAUGAGGAUAGAUAUAUUAUACUACCUAGGAGAUGCUGCUCUGUUUUCCUAUUAAUAUAAAUAAAAUACUUUACAUUUUUUUUUUUUUUAGCGUUUAUAAUAUAGCUCCAUUACUAAGAUUUUGCAUCUACAAACGGUUCCCCCCGAGAGCCCCUUGAUUGAUUAUUUGGCUUUCGUCAGGCUCACAACGGUAAAUAAGCGAUUCGCGGGAGGCCACCUGUGUCCAUUGUUUUAUAUUUUAGUUUAUUAUUAUAAUUUUAUUAUGUUGGCAUGUUUGAUUUUGAUUUUAGGAAAUUCAACGUCUUUUUCCCAGAAAGUUGCGCUCAAGAUGGCUUGUACCUUACACUGUUAGUCAAGUCUUUCUUCAUGGAGCACUUGAAGCUUCUAAAGAAGAUGGCACCACUUUCAUAGUUAAUGGACAACAUGCAAAACAUUACGAGGAAGGGUUGCUCCAAGUGAGAUAUGUCGUUUGCCUCAGUGAUUGAAAGCUUUCUCAGGGAAGUCACUGUUACUCUCUCACUUAUUUACUUCUGUGCCUGGUUGAAUAUUUGACAUUGAAGACCAUGCUCUGAACUAGCACAGUGUGCUAUGUUGACUAUCUUUUUGUAAACUAUCUUCUAAAUGUGAGAUUUGAGCCUCUAUAAGGGGAUACAUUCUAGAACUUGUCUUGUGUUCCACUGAAAUUGAAAUGCAUAAAAUUGCAGGGUAAGGGGACAUAUAAGAAUGAUAAGGCUGGAUUGACACUUGCUGAUCUUGCUUACCGACGUGCAAAAGCAGUGAAGAAUCAUCAAAAGAAAUCUAAUAAAUCUAAUCCUUUGCCAAAACCUUCCUCUUCCAGGCUAGAGGAAAUGCGGGAGCUAUUCCAGAGUGACGUGAAGGAUAAAAAGCCGAAACGGAGAGGUUCUUGAACAGGAAAGAAGGCGAAGAAGUCAUUGAAAAGCAAGUCAAGUGUAAGAAAAUAUGGUUUAUCCUUUAAUUCACUUCCAUAACUCUCAUUAUACGGUGACUGAGAUACUACAUUUAACAAAAAGUGGUUUCUUUUAUCAAUCACAAGUUUCAUAACACUGGCAGGGUUGCAAUGCAUGUCUCAUAUAAUUUUUCUGUAACCAGUGCUGCCAUGCUGA